GGGUCAGUAGGUUGGUCGUGCCACCGGUACGUACUGGUCUCACUGAUUCCUCCUUCCUGAAGAAACGUAAUGCCAUUAAUUUGGUGUUGCGGGGAAACAGGACUGUUACUUUGAAAAAAUUAGAGUGUUUAAAGCAAGCUAACGCUUGAAUACAUUAGCAUGGAAUAAUGAAAUAGGAGGAUCGAUCCUAUUUUGUUGGUUUCUAGGAUUGACGUA
RNAcentral lists this ribosomal RNA (216 nucleotides) under Glomeromycotina sp. Its description in RNAcentral is "partial small subunit ribosomal RNA". The stretch from base 40 to 216 matches the Rfam family "Eukaryotic small subunit ribosomal RNA", at positions 686 to 864 of the family's 1831-position model. Lineage: Eukaryota; Fungi; Glomeromycota. The record is from RNAcentral.